RNAcentral lists this unclassified non-coding RNA (391 nucleotides) under soil metagenome. Its description in RNAcentral is "partial contains 5.8S ribosomal RNA, internal transcribed spacer 2, and large subunit ribosomal RNA". The stretch from base 1 to 122 matches the Rfam family "5.8S ribosomal RNA", at positions 35 to 154 of the family's 154-position model. The record is from RNAcentral.
GAUGAAGAACGUAGCGAAAUGCGAUACUUGGUGUGAAUUGCAGAAUCCCGUGAACCAUCGAGUCUUUGAACGCAAGUUGCGCCCGAAGCCAUUAGGCCGAGGGCACGCCUGCCUGGGCGUCACACGUCGUUGCCCCCCCAUCUACUCCUUCGGGAUUGCAGGGGGCGGAUGAUGGCCUCCCGUGCGCCUCGCCGCGCGGUUGGCAUAAAUGCCAAGUCCUCGGCGACGCACGCCACGACAAUCGGUGGUUGCGAAACCUCGGUUGCCCGUCGUGUGCGGUCGUCGCGCAUCGAGGGCUCGAAAAAAUUGCCGGGUUCCGGCUCGGCUUUCAACGCGACCCCAGGUCAGGCGGGGUUACCCGCUGAAUUUAAGCAUAUCAAUAAGCGGAGGA